GAACCUGCGGAAGGAUCAUUACAGUUAUUAAUUCUUUGCCAGCGCUUAAUUGCGCGGCGGGAACUAAUCCUUACACACUGUGUUUUUUGUUAUUACAAGAACUAUUGCUUUGGCUUGGCCUUCGGGUUGGGCCAGAGACUUGAAUAAACUUCAAUUUUUUAUUGAAUUGUUUUUUAAAUUAUUGUCAAUUUGUUUGAUUAAAUUCAAAAUAAUCUUCAAAACUUUCAACAACGGAUCUCUUGGUUCUCGCAUCGAUGAAGAACGCAGCGAAAUGCGAUAAGUAAUAUGAAUUGCAGAUUUUCGUGAAUCAUCGAAUCUUUGAACGCACAUUGCGCCCUUUGGUAUUCCAAGGGGCAUGCCUGUUUGAGCGUCAUUUCUCUCUCAAACCUUUGGGUUUGGUAUUGAGUGAUACUCUUAGUCAGACUAGGCGUUUGCUUGAAAUGUAUCGGCAUGAGUGCGCUAGAUAGUGCUUUCUGAUUAUUCAAUGUAUUAGGUUUAUCCAACUCGUUGAAGGAUCAGGUGUAAAUUUCUGGUGGCAAUUGCUCGGCCUUACAACGACAAA
RNAcentral lists this ribosomal RNA (562 nucleotides) under Yamadazyma diddensiae. Its description in RNAcentral is "eukaryotic LSU rRNA". The stretch from base 220 to 373 matches the Rfam family "5.8S ribosomal RNA". The record is from RNAcentral. Lineage: Eukaryota; Fungi; Ascomycota; Pichiomycetes; Serinales; Debaryomycetaceae.